This 402-nucleotide ribosomal RNA is filed under the name Bacteroidota bacterium. RNAcentral's name for it is "Bacteroidetes bacterium partial 16S ribosomal RNA". It matches the Rfam family "Bacterial small subunit ribosomal RNA", at positions 355 to 776 of the family's 1533-position model. Lineage: Bacteria; Pseudomonadati; Bacteroidota. The record is from RNAcentral.
UGGGGAAUUUUGCACAAUGGGGGAAACCCUGAUGCAGCGACGCCGCGUGAUUUAGAAGGCCUUCGGGUUGUAAAAAUCUUUUUUACGGGAUGAAAAUGACAGUACCGUAAGAAUAAGGUCCGGCUAAAUACGUGCCAGCAGCCGCGGUAAUACGUAUGGACCGAGCGUUGUCCGGAAUCAUUGGGCGUAAAGGGUACGUAGGCGGCCUAGUAAGUUAGAAGUUAAAGAAUAUAGCUCAACUAUAUAAAGCUUUUAAAACUGCUCAUCUUGAGAUAUGGAAGGGAAAGUGGAAUUCCUAGUGUAGCGGUGAAAUGCGCAGAUAUUAGGAGGAAUACCGGUGGCGAAGGCGACUUUCUGGCCAUAAUCUGACGCUGAGGUACGAAAGCGUGGGUAGCAAACAGG